This 235-nucleotide ribosomal RNA is filed under the name Francisella tularensis subsp. holarctica. Its description in RNAcentral is "partial 16S ribosomal RNA". It matches the Rfam family "Bacterial small subunit ribosomal RNA", at positions 1051 to 1287 of the family's 1533-position model. The record is from RNAcentral. Lineage: Bacteria; Pseudomonadati; Pseudomonadota; Gammaproteobacteria; Thiotrichales; Francisellaceae.
GUCGUCAGCUCGUGUCGUGAGAUGUUGGGUUAAGUCCCGCAACGAGCGCAACCCUUAAGCUUAGUUGCCAUCAUUAAGUUGGGCACUCUAAGUUGACUGCCGGUGACAAACCGGAGGAAGGUGGGGAUGACGUCAAAUCAUCAUGCCCCUUAUGAUUUGGGCUACACACGUGCUACAAUGGACAAUACAAAGGGUAGCGAAACCGCGAGGUCAAGCAAAUCCCAUAAAGUUGUUC